This 400-nucleotide ribosomal RNA is filed under the name Scincella reevesii. RNAcentral describes it as "partial 12S ribosomal RNA". The stretch from base 45 to 400 matches the Rfam family "Bacterial small subunit ribosomal RNA", at positions 875 to 1399 of the family's 1533-position model. The record is from RNAcentral. Lineage: Eukaryota; Metazoa; Chordata; Lepidosauria; Squamata; Scincidae.
CCUAGCCCUAAACACUGACCACAUAUACACAACAUAACCCGCCAGAGGACUACAAGCGAAAAGCUAAAAACUCCAAGGACUUGGCGGUGCCUUAAACCAACCUAGAGGAGCCUGUCCCAUAAUCGAUACCCCACGUUAAACCUUACCCCCCUUAGCCAAACAGCCUAUAUACCGCCGUCGCCAGCCUACCUUAUGAAAGAAAUAAAGUAAGCAAAAUAGUUAACAACUAACACGUCAGGUCAAGGUGUAGCACAUGGGGGGGAGAGAGAUGGGCUACAUUUUCACAAAGCGAAGACACGAACAGCAUGUUGAAACACCUGCUUGAAGGCGGAUUUAGUAGUAAAAUACAUAAGAAAACCCAUCUUAAACCUGCUCUAAGGCGCGCACACACCGCCCGUCA